This is an unclassified non-coding RNA of Drosophila arizonae, 4174 nucleotides long. Lineage: Eukaryota; Metazoa; Arthropoda; Insecta; Diptera; Drosophilidae. The record is from RefSeq and is a predicted model, not a curated record.
AACACAUAUUCAACACACCCAGAGUCACAUCAAGUCCAUCGCAAACGUGUAUGAGAGUGCUGUACAAAAUUUGAUCAUACUUUCCCCGAAAAAGGAUUUCAACCGUCCAGAAAUUGGACAUCAUUUGGACUUGGCCUAAGUUCUUUAAAGCAAUCCCCACAAUACAGACCACAUAAAAUGUUCUCAAUAUUUGGCUCGAUCAUAGCGCUUGUAUUGGCCAGCACAAUAUGCGAGGCACUGCCAGAUCUGCACAAACAAAUGUCGCCAGAGCAACUGAAUUCAGUUUUCCAUGUGGACACACACGACGCCGUGCCGCAUUAUGAGCUCGUCCAGCUGCUGCACCACUCGUCGCACGGCGGUCUGCAGCGCAAGCGUCGCAGCCUCGACGAACGCAUCAAUGGGAGCAAUGCACCCAAGCCGCAUCAUGUGAAGAAGGAUCUGAGCAAGAAUGCCUACUACAGUGAGCUGAAGCAACAGGCGGCCACUGGCAGCAGCAAGAAUCAUCUGCUUGGCGACGACAUCAGCUCCAUUAAGGCGCACAAUGUCUCCUUCAGCGCCUUCGGCAAUCCCGUCAAUCUCACGCUGCGUGCCACGCAGGGCCUCUUUAAGGGGGCGCCGCACGAGCUGCGCAUGUGGUCGGUGGGCAGCGAGUCGAAUGCCACACAUGGCCUCGAUCUGCAGGAGAUCCUCGAUGAGAAGCAUCACAAGCAUGAGAUUGGUGAAGUCUUCCAAGAUGAGCAGAACAUGGCAGCGAUCUUAAUGCGCCGCCAUAUGGAAACUGGCGAUUUGAUAAUGGAGGGCAGCAUUGGUCACGAUCUGGUCAUUAAACCUUUGCCACACGAGCUGAGCCCCAACAAGGAGCAGGCCCAUCACAUUGUCUUCAAGCGUGCGGCCUCAGCCGCCGACGAUCAACUGAGUGACUUUGCUUUCAUGGAACCCGACGAUUUGCUGGCCAGCGAAAAACUUGAGCGUCUGCAGCGGCGUCAGCAUCGCAGUCGACGCAGCAGCGGCAGCAGUCCCGACUUCGAGGACCUCAACGAUGAGGACGAGGGCCAGCUGGACACCGAGGCGGAGCCGGCCGAACCCCAAACCUCAGAGUCACGCGUCCGCCCCAGACGCCAAGCCCCAUACGUCAUCUAUCCCGAGGUCUUGGUGAUUGUCGACUAUGAUGGAUAUCGGCUGCAUGGCGGUGACAACCUGCAGGUCAAGAGGUACUUCAUUUCGUUCUGGAACGGCGUCGAUUUGCGCUACCGCCUGCUGAAGGGACCCAGAAUACGCAUCAGCAUCGCUGGCAUCAUUAUCUCACGUGGUCGCGAUGCCACGCCCUAUUUGGAACGUAAUCGUGUGGGCCGCGAUGCCAUCGACUCGGCUGCCGCCCUGACAGACAUGGGCAAAUACCUGUUCCGGGAGCGACGUCUGCCUGUCUACGACAUCGCCGUGGCCAUCACCAAACUUGAUAUGUGCCGUCGUACCUCCGCAUUUGGUGAAUGUAAUCGCGGUACCGCAGGCUUUGCCUACGUUGGCGGCGCUUGCGUGGUUAACAAGCGGCUGGAGAAGGUGAACAGCGUCGCCAUCAUCGAGGACACCGGCGGCUUCAGCGGCAUCAUAGUGGCCGCCCACGAAGUGGGACAUUUAUUGGGCGCCGUGCACGAUGGCUCACCACCGCCCAGCUAUCUGGGAGGACCGGGCGCACAGCGUUGCCGCUGGGAGGAUGGCUACAUAAUGUCCGAUCUGCGUCACACGGAGCGCGGCUUCCGUUGGUCCGCCUGCACGGUGCAGAGCUUCCAUCACUUCCUCAAUGGGGACACCGCCACCUGCCUGCACAAUGCGCCGCACGAGGACAGCGCCCUGGGUAGAUCGCUGCCCGGCACCCUGCUCUCGCUGGAUGCGCAAUGCCGGCGAGAUCGUGGCACCUAUGCGUGCUUCAAGGAUGAGCGUGUCUGUGCGCAGCUCUUCUGCUUCGACGCCCAGACGGGCUACUGUGUUGCCUACAGGCCAGCAGCCGAGGGCUCAGCGUGUGGUAAUGGCUACCAUUGUCUGGAUGGUCGCUGCUCCCCACUGCCUUCUAAUAUAAUUCCCGACUAUGGAAACAAUUACCGUUUAGUAUACAAUAAAAUCAGCCAGAAGAAAAGCGAUGCGAACAGCCAAACGGGCGAAGACAUUGAAAAUAGUAGUGAAGAGAACGAAUCCCAAGAAGCUGAAGAUGAAGCCGAAGAGAAGCAGGAGCAGGAGCAGGAGUCGGACAACACUAGUAGUGAGGAGCAGCAGGAUAAUAACAUACAGCAGAGCUCUGCUGCGGCUGUUGCUGCUACGGCUGAUGCUGCUGCUGCUGCCGACAAUGCUGACACACCGACAACAACAACAGCACGAACCUCAAAAUCGACAACACCGACGACUGCAUCACGUUCCAAAUCAUUUGAGUUUUUGCGGCGACUGUUCAACGCUGACCGCACUGAUAAUUUGGCACUACACAACACUGAGUCGGAGUGGCUGCAAAAUGGUGGCGUUAUGGUUAAGACACACACCAGCAGCAGCAUCAGCAGCAGCAGCAGCAACAGCAACAGCAAUGGCGCACGCUACACAACAACAACAACACAAAAACCAACAACAACAACAACAACCACAACACAAACACCAAAUCUGUUUCAAAUUUAUACACAUGAACUACGAAAACAAAUUGAAUACUAUUUUCAUUUGAUACAAACACAACAACAGCAACCACAACAACAACAACAACAACAUCAGAAUACGCCACAUAAACAACAACAAGAACAAACUGUAGUUACGUCCAAUGAACAUUUCCCAAUACCCUUGGUACAAAAACAAAUUACAAAUUAUAGUGCCACCACCAACAGCAACAACAGCGGCGAGAGCAGCAACAAUGGCGCUAAAGAACAUAAUAGCAACAGCAACAGCAAUGGCAACAGCAACAGCAACAACAACAGCGUGGAAGGAAACAAGCGACAGCAGCAACAACAACAACAACAACAGCAGCAACAGCAUCAUCUAGUUGAUGAGGAAAACGAGGCCAAUGCCGGCAUUGAGAUCAAUGAAGCAAUUGAGCGGCAAAAACGUAAGUUUCACACACAGCAACCCAGACACUUGACAACACUGCAACAGCAACAACAAUUGGCAACAACAACAACAACAAGCACAACAACAGCCGCAAACCGAGCAGCCAAGGCGAUGCCAACAACAACUACAACAUCAGCAACAACAACUAAAACAAAAGCAACUUCAUCGAUAUUCGAUGCAUAUUUUAAAAAAUUUCAAGCAUUGCAUUUACCAACACUGGACGGAGCGGUUACAGCCACCACAACAUCGGUGUCCACCUCCGUUAGUUCAACAGCAACAAAAGCCAGCAGCACACAACAACAGCAACAGCAACAACAGCAACAACAAAAGCAACACCAACAACAGCAACAGCAAAACUUUGAUGGCAGUCAAUUCUUAAAACGUACGCUAAAUCGCAGUAGUAAUAUAACAAACAAAAAUAGUAGUAAUAAAGUUAGUCAUAACCAUAGUCAGCAACAACAACAACAACAACAACAGUUGACAUCGCCCUCAUAUGUAACAAAUUAUAUUGGCGACAAUACCAACAAUUUGCCAACGGUGUUGGACAAUCAGCCAAGCACAACAACAACAACAACAACAACAAUAGCCAUACAACAACUCGAACAACAGUCAGCAAAUGGCAACACAACAACAACAACAACAACAACGCUCAGAAAACCUAAAAUCAAAACACAAAAGCUGAUACGACGCACACGAGUCAUGUGAAAGACACAAAAAAAAACAAAAACAGAAACUAGAAAGAGCGUUGGCAACACUGCUGCUAUUUCUACUACUAUUUCUGCUACUACUAAAUAUACGUAAACACAACAUUUCAAUUCGAUCAACAACACUGCCAGCGCUACCCAGUUUGUAACUGUAAUUCUCAAAGUACGCGCACACACAAACACACAGUUACACACACACACACACACAUAGAACAGAUUUACAGUUACACGCACACAAGCCUAAAUUGUCCUCUCAACGUUCCGAUUCGAUUUGUUACUUUGCUACUUCGUGCGUGGUUAACUGGAAGCUGUUUCCGUUUUAGAGCACUGCCAAUCGGAAAGCGGAUGAAACGUUUGGAUUUGGCCUGGUUAUUGCCAUUGAGAAAGUUUUAACA